CACGUAGGGCGCAAGCGUUGUCCGGAAUUACUGGGCGUAAAGAGCUCGUAGGCGGUCUGUCACGUCGGCUGUGAAAUCCUGAGGCUCAACCUCGGGUCUGCAGUCGAUACGGGCAAACUAGAGUAUUGCAGGGGAGACUGGAAUUCCUGGUGUAGCGGUGAAAUGCGCAGAUAUCAGGAGGAACACCGGUGGCGAAGGCGGGUCUCUGGGCAAUAACUGACGCUGAGGAGCGAAAGCGUGGGGAGCGAACAGG
RNAcentral lists this ribosomal RNA (253 nucleotides) under uncultured bacterium. Its description in RNAcentral is "partial 16S ribosomal RNA". It matches the Rfam family "Bacterial small subunit ribosomal RNA", at positions 524 to 776 of the family's 1533-position model. The record is from RNAcentral.